UCUCCUAUGGCGCAAUCGGUGGCGCGUCUGACUGUUAGUCAUGCUUAGUCAUGAAUGUCUCGAACAUAUCAUCAGAAGGCUGUUAGUUCGAUCCUAACUGGGAGAG
Ceratobasidium sp. 394 is the source of this 106-nucleotide non-coding RNA. Lineage: Eukaryota; Fungi; Basidiomycota; Agaricomycetes; Cantharellales; Ceratobasidiaceae. The record is from the annotation of a GenBank genome assembly.